Molecule: long non-coding RNA, 1090 nt
Filed under: Salmo salar (Atlantic salmon)
Lineage: Eukaryota; Metazoa; Chordata; Actinopteri; Salmoniformes; Salmonidae
Description: lncRNA (ENSSSAG00000113753.1)
Source: RNAcentral
GUUAGCAGUAGACAGUCAGGGGAGAGUGGUCUGGGGUUAGCAGUAGACUGUCAGGGGAGAGUGGUCUGGGGUUAGUAGUACACAGUCAGGGGAGAGUGGUCUGAGGUUAGCAGUAGACUGGCAGGGGAGAGUGGUCUGGGGUUGGUAGUAGACUGUCAGGUGAGAGUGGUCUGGGGUUAGUAGUAGACUGUCAGGGGAGAGUGGUCUGAGGUAGUAGACUGUCAGGGGAGAGUGUUAUGGGUUUAGUAGUAGACUGUCAGGGGAGAGUGGUCUGGGGUUAGUAGUAGACUGUCAGGGGAGAGUGGUCUGGGGUUAGUAGUAGACUGUCAGGGGAGAGUGGUCUGGGUUAAGCAGUAGACUGUCAGGGGAGAGUGGCAUGGGGUUAGUAGUAAACUGUCAGGGGAGAGUGGUCUGCCGUUAGUAGUAGACUGUCAGGGGAGAGUGGCAUGGGGUUAGUAGUAGACUGUCAGGGGAGAGUGUUUUGGGGUUAGUAGUAGACUGUCAGGGGAGAGUGGUCUGGGGUUAGUAGUAGACUGUUGAGGAGAGUGGUCUGGGGUUAGCAGUAGACAGUCAGGGGAGAGUAGUCUGGGGUCAGCAGUAGACUGUCAGGGGAGAGUGGUCUGGGGUUAGUAGUAGACAGUCAGGGGAUAGGGGUCUGAGGUUAGCAGUAGACUGUCAGGGGAGAGUGGUCUGGGGUUGGUAGUAGACUGUCAGGUGAGAGUGGUCUGGGGUUAGUAGUAGACUGUCAGGGGAGAGUGGUCUGAGGUAGUAGACUGUCAGGGGAGAGUGGUCUGGGUUUAGUAGUAGACUGUCAGGGGAGAGUGGUCUGGGGUUAGUAGUACACUGUCAGGGGAGAGUGGUCUGGGGUUAGUAGUAGACUGUCAGGGGAGAGUGGUCUGGGGUUAGUAGUAGACUGUUGAGGAGAGUGGUCUGGGGUUAGCAGUAGACUGUCAGGGGAGAGUGGUCUGGGGUUAGCAGUAGACUGUCAGGGGAGAGUGGUCUGGGGUUAGUAGUAGACUGUCAGGGGAGAGUGGUCUGGGGUUAGUAGUAGACUGUCAGGGGAGAGUGGUCUGGGGUUAGCAGUAGACUG